AAGAUCAACAAGCCGUCGUAACAAGGCACGACGUGGCACGACCACAUGCAAAACUAAAUUAAUUAAGCAAGGCAAUCGAGGAUUGGAUUACCUUUUUACGCAAGUGACUUAAUUUAAAUUCCGCAGUAAUAAAUAGCGCUGUCAUGCGUAAAGCGUCUAAUUCAAUUCUUGCGAAUGAGAGCUCACGGAUUGGCACUCCCAAAUAUUUGCAAAGAGAUAAGAAAUCAGCGAUGAAUGCGGCAUUGGUGACAAUUACGAAGCUGCCAAGUCGGGAAGUCAUGAUGCGAAAUAUUUAGCUGUGUUUUAGCAACCGUUUCUGAAGCCGUAUAUUAAAGUAAUUAAACAUGUCGCAUGUACGAC
Paramuricea clavata is the source of this 360-nucleotide non-coding RNA. NCBI's taxonomy places the organism in Eukaryota, Metazoa, Cnidaria, Anthozoa, Malacalcyonacea, Plexauridae. The record is from the annotation of a GenBank genome assembly.